CCCUUCAUCUACACUGAUCGAGAUGUAUUUAACAAGUGACAUCAAUAAGGGAUCAUAGCUUUCACCUGGAUUCACCUGGUCAGUCUAUGUCAUGGAAAAAGCAGGUGUUCCUAAUGUUGUGUACACUCAGUGUACAUGUAUGCAAAAACAUGUACUGGAAGAAUUACUUUUUGAAUCCUUUUGUCAGUUUAUUUAUUCAGAUUUUUAUAACUUUAUGUUGGUAUAGCUUGUUUGUCAACUUUGGUUGUCCUUAAAUCCAAGUGAAAUCUCAUCUUAAUCUGUGUUUUAUGCUGGGUUGCUUGUGUUUCACACCCUUCCCCACCCUUUUUGAGAAAUGUUCCCUGUGGGUGUCUCAUAUGUCACCACUUGUCCAUUCUCGCUCAGUUGUGCCUCACAUCGUCAGCCAGUUAGGUCAGGUAGUUCUUGGAUGAACCAAUGACUUGUGGAGGCAAAAUGAGACAUUGUCUUGCCCUCACCUUAGCUGUCCUGGGAACAGGUUUCUUCGCCGUUGGGUCAGCCCAGUGUAUUACAUUGUGCGAUGGGG
Oncorhynchus nerka (sockeye salmon) is the source of this 544-nucleotide long non-coding RNA. RefSeq lists it as uncharacterized. The record is from RefSeq and is a predicted model, not a curated record. The transcript has 4 exons. NCBI's taxonomy places the organism in Eukaryota, Metazoa, Chordata, Actinopteri, Salmoniformes, Salmonidae.